GAGCUUCUUCGGGGCAGGGUGAAAUUCCCUACUGGCGGUACAGCCCGCGACCCUUCCGCACCGCAAUGGGCAGGAAGGCUGAGCCGGUGAGACAAAAGUCAAUUCCGGCGCCAACAGUAUAGUCUGGAUGAGAGAGGAAAGCU
This is a regulatory RNA element of Faecalibacterium sp. CAG:74, 143 nucleotides long. It matches the Rfam family "FMN riboswitch aptamer (RFN element)". From Rfam's summary of the family: The RFN element is a highly conserved domain that is found frequently in the 5'-untranslated regions of prokaryotic mRNAs that encode for flavin mononucleotide (FMN) biosynthesis and transport proteins. This element is a metabolite-dependent riboswitch that directly binds FMN in the absence of proteins. NCBI's taxonomy places the organism in Bacteria, Bacillati, Bacillota, Clostridia, Eubacteriales, Oscillospiraceae. The record is from Rfam.